GAUGAACGCUGGCGGCGUGCUUAACACAUGCAAGUCGAACGGAACUACUCUAAUGAGAGUCUUCUGAAGGGAGCUGGUUUCGUUUAGUUGAGGACUGGUGAGUAACCCGUUGGUAACCGGCCCUAUACAGGGGGAUAACAGUUGUAAACGACUGUUAAUACCGCAUAAGCGCACAGGAGUGCAUGCUCCGGUGUGAAAAACUCCGGUGGUAUAGCAUGGACCCGCGUCUGAUUAGCUAGUUUGCGGCGUAACGGCAUACCAAGGCGACGAGGAGUAGCCGGCCCGAGAGGGAGGUUGGGCACACUGGAAGUGAGACAGGACGCAGACUCUGACGCGAGGCAGCGGUAGGGAAUCUUACGCAAGGGGGGAAAGCGGGAUAUAGCAACGUCGCGGGAAUGAUGAAGGACCGCGGAUGGGAAAACGCUGUUGUUGGUGAAUAAGAAAAGCGCAAUAAGCUGGGCAGAUCAUGACGGUACCUAACUAAGAAGCCCCGGCUAACUACGUG
RNAcentral lists this ribosomal RNA (505 nucleotides) under uncultured bacterium. RNAcentral describes it as "partial 16S ribosomal RNA". It matches the Rfam family "Bacterial small subunit ribosomal RNA", at positions 28 to 507 of the family's 1533-position model. The record is from RNAcentral.